GGAAGAAUAAGAAGUACCUUUUGCUUUCAUGGAUCAUAAAACCUGUUUGGGAGUUGGUUUGCAGAGAGGAUGAUUCCAAUUCUGGCUUUGGUUUCCCUUCAACCUGAAGUGUCUCUAACUGGCACAGUCUCCUGAUACUUGGACUGGAGAGCCGCCCUUACUAAAUGUCUGUGACCUUAUUGUCAAGAAAGUCUUGACAAGCAGAAGCUGCUGCCUGGGGGUUGGAAUGUACUACUUCCUGUUCUUUCUCUCCAAGCUGAAGCAUUCUAUCCAAACAAAAACUGAACUUGGUGCACAUGUGACCCAAAGCUAGCUUGAAAUGAAACUCUCUGAAGAUGAAAAACUUUACACAUUAACUCCUGGUUCCACUCCAUCUACUUACAGUGCCUGAGACCACAAAGAGGGCCUUGUAAAAAGAACCAAAAUAAACAAAGGGAUGGCUCAGGCUGUGAACUAAGACAAACAAGCAAUCAACAGCCACAGAUAGCAUCAGAUUAAUUGCUGCUGAUAUCCGACAAAAUGCAAAAAAACUACGACAAUGGCAUAGUACUGUUUAAGUCAACCACCCCACAGCCCUGCCAGGACACUACUCAAUCUUAGGGUAUCUCAAUAUAAGGGAAAUCAGUACUUGAACCCCAACCCAACUUGCAUAUGACCAGAAGGAGCAGAAGAAUCCUAUGUCUUUACUACAAAAAUAUCGUGACAACAGAAUGGACACUCUGUUAGAAAAGCCUGGGAUCUCAUCUUGAUGUUUUCCUUGUAGCCAUGCUCCCAGUUUUUCUAUGAAUAAUUUACUUAAGAUACAACAUGAGCCCUAGC
Neofelis nebulosa (Clouded leopard) is the source of this 819-nucleotide long non-coding RNA. RefSeq lists it as uncharacterized. The record is from RefSeq and is a predicted model, not a curated record. NCBI's taxonomy places the organism in Eukaryota, Metazoa, Chordata, Mammalia, Carnivora, Felidae. The transcript is spliced from 3 exons.